This is a long non-coding RNA of Suricata suricatta (meerkat), 792 nucleotides long. RefSeq lists it as uncharacterized. The record is from RefSeq and is a predicted model, not a curated record. NCBI's taxonomy places the organism in Eukaryota, Metazoa, Chordata, Mammalia, Carnivora, Herpestidae. The transcript is spliced from 2 exons.
GGAGCGGGAGAGAGAAGCUAGAGGAGCAUGACUUUGUAAAUUAACCACAAGGAAGACUGGGAAGGAAUGUUAUAGAAAAGAACAGUUGCAUAUGGGUUCUGCUAGUUCUGUUGCAUUCAGAAAUAUGUUUACAGUGGUGCCAAUGGGCAGAUGCGUGUGAUUUUCUUCAAUGACGCUCAGAUCAGAUGUGGAAGUGGACAAAGUAGAGAGCUGGGCUGCUCCCAGGCUGGCAGUGUGUGCAGAGCAGAUGCCACAAAACGCAACAGAUGACAAAGCAUGACUUUCCAAGAAAUGCAAGGGGACUGCCUGCAGUCCUGGACUCAUGACUGCCUACCGCCAUCUUCAAAACCAGCAGCGGAAGAGUCCUCACACCCCAUGACCUUUGACCUCCUUUUUCUGCCUCCCUCUUCUACUUUUAAGGACUCUUGUGAGUACAUUGGGCCCACCCAAGUCAUCCAGGAUAUCUUCCCUAUUUUAAGGUCAACUGGUUCCAUCUGCUACUUUAAGUUCUCUUUGCCAUGGAGUGGAACAUGGAACAGGUUCCUGGGAUCGUGAUACGGACAUGGGACAUGGACAUGGGACAUGGUAACGACAACAGAUUGAAACACAUCAAAUAUGUUUAAGUACAUAAGCUCAAAAUGAUAUUAAGACAAACAAAGCUCACUGUGAGGAAACUGACAUAGUGUUUGAAGGACUGGUAAAUAAAGGGAAACGUUCAAGUAUUCAUCCUGCCCAUCCCGCACAAACUGGACCUUGGUAACCAAAAAGUUGAUAAAGGAAAAGUUUUAUUUA